UACGAAGGGUGCAAGCGUUACUCGGAAUUACUGGGCGUAAAGCGUGCGUAGGUGGUGGUUUAAGUCCGUUGUGAAAGCCCUGGGCUCAACCUGGGAAUUGCAGUGGAUACUGGAUCACUAGAGUGUGGUAGAGGGUAGUGGAAUUCCCGGUGUAGCAGUGAAAUGCGUAGAGAUCGGGAGGAACACCAGUGGCGAAGGCGACUACCUGGACCAACACUGACACUGAGGCACGAAAGCGUGGGGAGCAAAC
RNAcentral lists this ribosomal RNA (250 nucleotides) under uncultured bacterium. RNAcentral describes it as "partial 16S ribosomal RNA". It matches the Rfam family "Bacterial small subunit ribosomal RNA", at positions 524 to 773 of the family's 1533-position model. The record is from RNAcentral.